Molecule: ribosomal RNA, 491 nt
Filed under: uncultured bacterium
Lineage: Bacteria
Description: partial 16S ribosomal RNA
Rfam family: Bacterial small subunit ribosomal RNA
Source: RNAcentral
GUGAACGCUGGCGGUAGGCCUAACACAUGCAAGUCGCACGGCAGCACAGUAAGAGCUUGCUCUUACGGGUGGCGAGUGGCGGACGGGUGAGGAAUACAUCGGAAUCUACUUUUUCGUGGGGGAUAACGUAGGGAAACUUACGCUAAUACCGCAUACGACCUACGGGUGAAAGCAGGGGAUCUUCGGACCUUGCGCGAUUGAAUGAGCCGAUGUCGGAUUAGCUAGUUGGCGGGGUAAAGGCCCACCAAGGCGACGAUCCGUAGCUGGUCUGAGAGGAUGAUCAGCCACGCUGGAACUGAGACACGGUCCAGACUCCUACGGGAGGCAGCAGUGGGGAAUAUUGGACAAUGGGCGCAAGCCUGAUCCAGCCAUACCGCGUGGGUGAAGAAGGCCUUCGGGUUGUAAAGCCCUUUUGUUGGGAAAGAAAAGCAGCAGGUUAAUACCCCGCGGUUCUGACGGUACCCAAAGAAUAAGCACCGGCUAACUUCGUG